UCCGAUAUGGUCUAGUGGCUAGGAUUUGCCGCUCUCAAGUAGAGUUGUACGCUCAACCAGCGCCGGCAAGGCCCGGGUUCGAUUCCCGGUGUCGGAA
RNAcentral lists this transfer RNA (97 nucleotides) under Westerdykella ornata. It matches the Rfam family "tRNA". Rfam says of the family: Transfer RNA (tRNA) molecules are approximately 80 nucleotides in length. Lineage: Eukaryota; Fungi; Ascomycota; Dothideomycetes; Pleosporales; Sporormiaceae. The record is from Rfam by way of RNAcentral.